RNAcentral lists this long non-coding RNA (532 nucleotides) under Vitis vinifera (wine grape). Its description in RNAcentral is "long non-coding RNA (VVIN_LNC007644)". Lineage: Eukaryota; Viridiplantae; Streptophyta; Magnoliopsida; Vitales; Vitaceae. The record is from RNAcentral.
GGCUGGAGAAAAUUGAUUGGAGGAAAGCCCCUUUCUAUGCUUAUUACAAGGACUUCGACAUAGAGGGAUGCCCAAUGCCAGGACCCGGGACUUGUGCCUCUAACCCUAAUAACUGGUGGGAGGGAACUGCAUACCAUGAACUCAGCCCUAUUGAAGCCAGACGAUACCAUUGGGUCCGUCAGAACCACAUGAUCUAUGACUACUGCACGGACAAAUCGCGAUACCCGGUUACCCCACCGGAGUGUGUCGCAGGCAUCUAAAAUCCGAUGGCCAAUUUUUCCUUAAUUGGUAAAUACAUUCAUGCCUACGUACGUACACACCCUCAUACACUCUGUUGUGUGAUAAGAGCCAUGCAUAUCAGGGGGUAUAGAGGGGAUAAAAAAUAAUAUUAUUUUUGUUUCGAUGGUGAUUUUAGUAUGUGGUUGAAGCCUAAGAUUUGUAAGGUUUGUUUUCUAAGGGUGGGCAAAGGGUCAACUUCUAUUUGUAAACCAUAUGUGUCUGUAUUUGCCGAUUAUCAUAAGUGCCAAUAAAG